AGUGAACGCUGGCGGUAGGCCUAACACAUGCAAGUCGAACGGCAGCACAGUAAGAGCUUGCUCUUACGGGUGGCGAGUGGCGGACGGGUGAGGAAUACAUCGGAAUCUACUUUUUCGUGGGGGAUAACGUAGGGAAACUUACGCUAAUACCGCAUACGGCCUACGGGUGAAAGCAGGGGAUCUUCGGACCUUGCGCGUUUGAAUGAGCCGAUGUCGGAUUAGCUAGUUGGCGGGGUAAAGGCCCACCAAGGCGACGAUCCGUAGCUGGUCUGAGAGGAUGAUCAGACACACUGGAACUGAGACACGGUCCAGACUACUACGGGAGGCAGCAGUGGGGAAUAUUGGACAAUGGGCGAAAGCAUGAUCCAGCCAUACCGCGUGGGUGAAGAAGGCCUUCGGGUUGUAAAGCCCUUUUGUUGGGAAAGAAAAGCAGCAGGUUAAUACCCCGCUGUUCUGACGGUACCCAAAGAAUAAGCACCGGCUAACUUCGUG
RNAcentral lists this ribosomal RNA (492 nucleotides) under uncultured bacterium. Its description in RNAcentral is "partial 16S ribosomal RNA". It matches the Rfam family "Bacterial small subunit ribosomal RNA", at positions 29 to 507 of the family's 1533-position model. The record is from RNAcentral.